This 1242-nucleotide long non-coding RNA is filed under the name Homo sapiens (human). Its description in RNAcentral is "long intergenic non-protein coding RNA 3076". The record is from RNAcentral. Lineage: Eukaryota; Metazoa; Chordata; Mammalia; Primates; Hominidae.
ACUCCAGUCCUCUCCACCCCAAGGUAGGCAGCUUCCCGCUCCUCGUCUUGGGACCUAAACCCAGGAAGUCAAAUGUCCUUUUCUAGCAGGUCGCCUGGUUAGAGGCCGUGGACGAAGCGGUCCAGGCACAGCCAGCUGCAGGGCGCGGCCUCGGCGGCGCUGCUCGUGGCCCUGGUCAGUGAGCGCACUCACUCCUGGACUAAGCAUUAUUCUCUUGGAUUCACCUUUGCAAAGAAUUGAACAAAAUAGAAGCCAAAGAAGUAGACAGAAAAUAAAUCAAUCCACUCUGCUCAAAGAGCACACAGUCUAAUGAAGAUGAUGAACAUGAAGUCAACUUCGUAGUGUUGAGAGCACUGUUUCUCCAGAGCAGCACUUCUCAUCAGGGGCUGCACGUUAGACUUACCUGGGGAGUAUACAUAAGUUCAGAUGCCCAGGCUGUACUUCAGAAUCUCUGGAGCUCUAUGCAACUCAUUUUCAUCUAGCAUUACCUCUCCAAAACCUGAAUCUCCACAAGAAAGCCACACAGCAAUUAACCAGUGUUGCAAGAACUGCUUCUGUAAUAAAGGUGGGAAGACAAAUUGAUGCAACCCUCUUGAAAAGCAAUCUGGCAAUAUGAACCAAGAGCCAUGAAAAGGCUUAUGCUAUUAUAAUUAAAUGGCUGUAAUGUUGGCUGUAAAUAUGAAAUUUUCUUUCACACACCAAUGUUUUCAAGAAUGGCAUAUUCACAUGCAGUAUGUGAUGAAAGAAGCAGUAAAGGAUGCUAACAAAGCUAUUUCUUUGGACAAUCUGAACCUGACGGAGUCUUACUCUGUCGCCCAGGCAGGAGUGCAAUGGCACAAUCUUGGCUCACCACAACCUCCGCCUCCUGGGUUCAAGUGACUCUCCUGCCUGGCCAUAGAAGCAAACACAAACAUAGAGGAAUUGGCUUUGGGCAGAUGGAAGGACCUCAGAGAAAAGAAACAAAGGAAAGAAAACUGGAUGGAUAAAGGUUUGUAGAAAUACUAUUCACAGGAAGCAAAUAGGAAUUCCUUAUCGCUAAACAGACACUAAGUCAAUUGGUACUACCCAUUCUUAUUUAACAUGUGAGGAAACUGAAACCUGAAGAGGUCAUGGAAGUUCUGUGUGGCCACACCAAUGGUAGACAGCAGAACCAGAUUUCAAACCAGCUUUUUCUCCAGCAUUAUUCUUCAUGAGAAGAAUAAUUAAACUUAUUGUGUAAUAAAGUGUGUUUUUAAGGUAUAA